GUCAGCCUGGGGACAGUGACACUGGAGAUGCGCGUUCACAAGACUUCUCCAUUUUUUUCUUUCAGUCUUUGAUUGAAUACAACGUUGCCCGGUUGGAAUAUUAUCGCUAUUUUCCGAGGAAAGUAGCAUAAAAAUAGAUUUUAAACAGAGUUUGACAUGCUUCUAAGUACGGUAAUGUAAUAUUUAGACAUUUUUGGUCACGAAAUGCGCACGCGCGUUACACUUCGGAUAGUGACCUGAACGCACGAACAAAACGGAGCUAUUUGGAUAUAACUAUGGAUUAUUUGGAACCAAAACAACAUUUGUUGUUGAAGUAGAAGUCCUGGGAGUGCAUUCUGACGAAGAACAGCAAAGCAUCAGUGGACACACCAGACUCUCCUUUAUCAGUCAUACAAAGAGAAUGUUCUAAUACCUCCCAUCGAAAAGAGAGCUGGCCCAAGCAAGCACAGGUUAAACCUGAAGCAUGAGGACUUGCAGCGAGUGGUAAACUUCAACAACUACGCAGAGGAUAAUGCAAUAGUAUUACCAGGAUGCCACCCAGGACACAAACACUUUGGUGGAAAGCUGCUGCCAUCCCAUGUGACAAAAGCAGCAGUAUGGUGUCUCUACAAGGAAUCAAUGACAACACUUGCAAAUAAUCUGGACCUUCACUUCCUGAUCACAGGCCACACCAAGUUUGCCCCGACUGGUGCAGGGCCUCAUCAAGCAGUGCUUCAGAAAGACCAGAGUGAAUACUUUGUCUGAGAUUGCUGGUGUUGUGAAGGACAGCACUGUGACAGGGGUAAACAUCCCAGUGGUGGUCCGCCUGUUAUCGAAACCUGGAGGUGGUCUUGAGAAGAGCGGCCUGGGCUCUCUUCCAGUUGCGGCGACAGCAACGGACGAACAUCUGGGCAGAAGGUAUGUUGACCUUUUCCUCUUGCUCUGGGAAGAGUGGGGGCUGAUAUCCCAGGGAACACUCAAAAGGCGAGAGACCAGUAGCAAAACAUGGAAGGUUGUUGUGGGCAUAUUCCACCCACAUUGGCUCGCUCCGAAUGGCCGUUUGACUGGGGAUGAAAACCAGAGGACAGGCUGGCCGACAACCAAAUGAGAGUGCACAAUGCCUUCCAGAACCGGGAUGAGAACUGAGGACCGAGAUCAGAGACCACAUUGACUGGAAGCCCAUGGAUCCGGAAGACAUGCUGCACCAUGAGCUGAGCAAUCUCCUUAGCUGAGGGCAACUUAGGAAGGGGAUAAAAUGGGCGGCUUUCGAAAACCUAUCCACCACCGUAAGGAUAGUAAUGUUACCAUCUGACGGAGGGAGACCUGUGACUACGUCCAAUGAUAUAUGGGACCAGGGGUGGUGAGGAACAGGGAGUGGUUGAAGGAGGCCAGCUGAAGAUUGUUCUGCGCACACACAGUGCAGGCGGCAACAAAUGCGUAAACGUCGGGAACCAUGGUGGGCCACCAAAAAUGUUGUCGGACAAAAGCCAAGGUCCAACGUGAGACAGGAUGACAG
RNAcentral lists this long non-coding RNA (1495 nucleotides) under Salmo salar (Atlantic salmon). RNAcentral's name for it is "lncRNA (ENSSSAG00000114255.1)". The record is from RNAcentral. Lineage: Eukaryota; Metazoa; Chordata; Actinopteri; Salmoniformes; Salmonidae.